UCCCCGUUAUCCUGGGCAGUCCCUCCAGAGUUCCCGGCAUGACCCGUUGGCAACUGGAGGCGAGGGUUGCGCUCGUUGCGGGACUUAACCCAACAUCUCACGACACGAGCUGACGACAGCCAUGCAGCACCUGUGUCCCGGCCCAUUGCUGGGGAGAAUCCGUUUCCGGAAACCGUCCGGGUAUGUCAAGGCUUGGUAAGGUUCUUCGCGUUGCGUCGAAUUAAACCACAUGCUCCGCUGCUUGUGCGGGUCCCCGUCAAUUCCUUUGAGUUUUAGCCUUGCGGCCGUACUCCCCAGGCGGGGCACUUAAUGCGUUAGCUCCGGCACGGGAGGAGUCGACACCUCCCACACCUAGUGCCCAUCGUUUACGGCGUGGACUAC
This 381-nucleotide unclassified non-coding RNA is filed under the name uncultured bacterium. RNAcentral's name for it is "contains 16S-23S intergenic spacer region". The record is from RNAcentral.